AGUGCGUCUUAAGCAUGCAAGUCAAACGGGAUGUAGCAAUACAUYUAGUGGCGAACGGGUGAGUAACGCGUGGAUGAUCUACCUAYGAGAUGGGGAUAACUAUUAGAAAUAGUAGCUAAUACCGAAUAAAGUCAAUUAAUUUGUUAAUUGAUGAAAGGAAGCCUUUAAAGCUUCGCUUGUAGAUGAGUCUGCGUCUUAUUAGYUAGUUGGURGGGUAAAUGCCUACCAAGGCGAUGAUAAGUAACCGGCCUGAGAGGGUGAACGGUCACACUGGAACUGAGAUACGGUCCAGACUCCUACGGGAGGCAGCAGCUAAGAAUCUUCCGCAAUGGGCGAAAGCCUGACGGAGCGACACUGCGUGAAUGAAGAAGGUCGAAAGAUUGUAAAAUUCUUUUAUAAAUGAGGAAUAAGCUUUGUAGGAAAUGACGAAGYGAUGACGUUAAUUUAUGAAUAAGCCCCGGCUAAUUACGUGCCAGCAGCCGCGGUAAUACGUAAGGGGCGAGCGUUGUUCGGGAUUAUUGGGCGUAAAGGGUGAGUAGGCGGAUAUAUAAGUCUAUGCAUAAAAUACCACAGCUCAACUGUGGAACUAUGUUGGAAACUAUAUGUCUAGAGUCUGAUAGAGGAAGUUAGAAUUUCUGG
Molecule: ribosomal RNA, 639 nt
Filed under: Borreliella garinii
Lineage: Bacteria; Pseudomonadati; Spirochaetota; Spirochaetia; Spirochaetales; Borreliaceae
Description: bacterial SSU rRNA
Source: RNAcentral